Molecule: long non-coding RNA, 575 nt
Organism: Actinia tenebrosa (Australian red waratah sea anemone)
Lineage: Eukaryota; Metazoa; Cnidaria; Anthozoa; Actiniaria; Actiniidae
Source: RefSeq, a predicted model, not a curated record
CAACCACCAACACAAAAGCGACGGCAACAACGGUCAUCGUUCAUACAAGACGAACCACCGCAAAAAUGCCGUGGAAAAUCCUUUCAAAAGCAGGCUAAACAGCGAGCUGCCGACAUGAACCAGCAACAUCCCGGCCCACGUGUUCAUGUUCCAAAGGCACUGAAUUGAAAAUACCGGUACUCCUACACAGGGAGGAAGGAGUACGUUUGAUCUGACGGCCAAAGUUAUCUUGAGUGUUGUCCUUCUUACRAGAACUUGAAAAAUACCGGGUCUGCUAAGGUGUGAACCACCUGCUGACCUGCCAGAGAAAGGAUGUAAAAAAGACACAACCACUUGGCUGUAGAGUUAGUCAUCAGCAGAGAGAUUACCAUUUGUGCCAGUUUGUAAAUUCUAUUAGAUUUGACUGCACAUUUGAAUAAUUACCAAUUCAAUGUUAUACUUUAACUUCCUAGCUCUGAUGCCGAACGCUCAUUUCCUUACUGUUAAUCAGCUUAUAAACUCUGAAACAUUGAUGUAUUUAACGUACGUCCUUGAGUUCUAAUAUAUAAUUGAGAUGUCUUUCUUCAAGUUCAAAA